AUGAGAGGAGUUAUGACACAUUUGUUUCCAUACUCUUAUUGCCCUUGUUCAGAAGUGCAGUGUAGUGGCCUUGACACACUGUUUAACAGCCUUGAUGUUCAGAAAUCUGCAGUCACACCCUGCCUCUUCCCUAAGGUUGACUCUGUGCCCAUGGAUAAAGAAACUGAGACCCAGAGAGGAUGAAAUUUGCUCAAGAUGAUAUACGUGAGAAAGAAGAACUUCAGCAAUGAAGAAUAUAAGUUUGGAUGCAAAGCAAAGAGAAAACCUCUUCAUACAUGAGAAAAAUACUUUUUUACUAAGAAGAACAUUUUGAAUAUGAGGGGGAUUAUUAAAUGCUUUACUUCAAAAUC
Molecule: long non-coding RNA, 350 nt
Filed under: Monodelphis domestica (gray short-tailed opossum)
Lineage: Eukaryota; Metazoa; Chordata; Mammalia; Didelphimorphia; Didelphidae
Description: lncRNA (ENSMODG00000044698.1)
Source: RNAcentral